GGAGCGGUGAGCAAUCGCACUGCUGAGGUCAGGGGUUCGAUCCCCCUCUGCUCCACCA
This 58-nucleotide transfer RNA is filed under the name Polymorphobacter multimanifer. RNAcentral's name for it is "tRNA-OTHER". Lineage: Bacteria; Pseudomonadati; Pseudomonadota; Alphaproteobacteria; Sphingomonadales; Sphingosinicellaceae. The record is from RNAcentral.